AAAAGACUCAAGAGAAGAUUAGUUACUCCUGAAAGUGCUCAGAAUACACUGCUAAGUGGUUAAUAAAUGCUACUGAAUUGAGUAAAACGUUUAGUGAAACUGGACUGACUGAUUCAACAGGGUGCUUUUAGAUUUCUCCUGUGCACAGAGAAUUAGACCAUCCCAUGGGCUUGCUAUGAUGAAGAACAGAACCCUUCCCUGGGAUAGAUGAAAAGGAGAAUCACCCCAAACAACAAGACAACCAAGCUACGAGCAGGCACGCUCCUAUCUGCAUGACUGAUAAAGACCAUCUGAUGCCGCCAGUUACUCAGUGAGGCCAUUCUCUAGGCAAAGUCACAAUAUUUAUUUUAACACCAGUGACUAUUGAGUGUGUGUGUAUAUCUAUGUAGUGAUAAAACACUGCUGUAAUAUGUACACAGGAUCUGAACAAGAUCAAUUCAUCAGGACCAUCAUGCAGUCUACAUAUGAGAGAGGUUGUUUAUGUAGUGGGUUGAUAGAAUACCGUGAUACAAGCCACAGAAAAGCACUGUCUGAUGUUCAUAAUGCAUGCUAUGUAUUUCACAAUAUGGGCAUUAUGUAAAUAAUUAAUAGCAUGGACUAGAGAUAGCAUUGAUAGGAAGGAGAGAGACAGCAUGCAAGAAAGUCUGCUCAAAUACGCUAAUGAGUAGGAUAGAAAUAUUUCACCAAGCACAUCACACAUUUUAGGGACUCUUGUUAUCAAGCAUUGUCUUGUGGGAUGGCUGAUUUUUCUUCUCAAUGACUGCCAGUCCUACAGAUACAAUUUUGAAGUAUUUUAUUUGUAAAUUUAAAAAGCUGUUUCCACUGUCUAUGUGUAUGAAAGUCAAUGUGGAAAGAAAUUGCCCCAUGAAAUAGGACAAUAAAAUGCAACUAUUUGAACUGCUUAGAUGCCAGUCUUUUUCUCAGAAAUGUUCUAUUCAGGAAUACAGUAAGCUUAAUUGGCAAGAUAUUGACUAGCCUAUAUGUAAUUUAUCUUUCAACCAUUACUCAGUGUUUCCCCAAGUACCCUGUUGUCUACCUAGAGAGGAGCACUGUACUGAUGAGCUGGAGCUCAGGUCCCCAAGGAUGUCUCCUUUUCCUAAUACAUAUAUAUUAAUUCCCAUUAACCUCAUUUAGAGUAAGGAGUAAUGUGGGCAUGAAGAGGAGGCCAGACAGCCAGAUGGCUGUGAGUGUCUGUUACGGUAUAUGAGUAACUCUUCCCACUAUUCAGCCUUUAUUUAACCAAU
Molecule: long non-coding RNA, 1244 nt
Filed under: Homo sapiens (human)
Lineage: Eukaryota; Metazoa; Chordata; Mammalia; Primates; Hominidae
Description: HSALNT0248730
Source: RNAcentral